RNAcentral lists this ribosomal RNA (253 nucleotides) under uncultured prokaryote. RNAcentral's name for it is "partial 16S ribosomal RNA". It matches the Rfam family "Bacterial small subunit ribosomal RNA", at positions 525 to 777 of the family's 1533-position model. The record is from RNAcentral.
ACGGGGGGUGCGAGCGUUGUCCGGAAUCACUGGGCGUAAAGGGCGCGUAGGCGGCCUGGCAAGUGGAAGGUGAAAUCCCUCGGCUUAACCGAGGAACUGCCUCCCAAACUGCUUGGCUUGAGACCAGGAGAGGUGAGUGGAAUUCCCAGUGUAGCGGUGAAAUGCGUAGAUAUUGGGAGGAACACCAGUGGCGAAGGCGGCUCACUGGACUGGUACUGACGCUGAGGCGCGAAAGCGUGGGGAGCAAACGGGA